RNAcentral lists this unclassified non-coding RNA (359 nucleotides) under Hevea brasiliensis (rubber tree). The record is from RNAcentral. Lineage: Eukaryota; Viridiplantae; Streptophyta; Magnoliopsida; Malpighiales; Euphorbiaceae.
GGACAAGGCUGCAAAAUUUUACGGGCUUUAAGAUGUUGCACAAAUUCAAGAUCUUGAAGCCACUGAGGCUUCAACCACAGCAAAACCACCUUUUCUUCGGUGGAGGAUACUGAGGGUAACUUUCAUUGUUGAAGACAGGUUCAUUUCUUUGUUGAGGAACCUUAUUGGCAGCAGUUCCAGUGAUCUUCUUCUCAUUUCUAGCCUUGUUAAAUAUGACUGUAAAUCCUUCUGCAGAUGCAGGAUUAUUUACAUCCCAUUCGCCAAACUUUGGCAAUGGACGACCCCUGUCCUGCGAUGCCAUGAAUGCAGGACGAAAGGGCCGGGGAUCGGAUAGGAGAAGACCAAAAACGGAAAGAAAC